RNAcentral lists this small RNA (127 nucleotides) under Marmota monax (woodchuck). Lineage: Eukaryota; Metazoa; Chordata; Mammalia; Rodentia; Sciuridae. The record is from RNAcentral.
GCUGGGCAGGGUGGUGCACACCUGUAAUCCCAGCAGCUCAGGAGGCUAAGACAGGAGGAUCAUGAGUUCAAAGCCAGCCUUAGCUACUUAGUGAGGCCCUAAGGAACUUAGUGAGACCCUGUCUCAA